Molecule: long non-coding RNA, 1173 nt
Filed under: Marmota monax (woodchuck)
Lineage: Eukaryota; Metazoa; Chordata; Mammalia; Rodentia; Sciuridae
Source: RNAcentral
GUCUGUUUCUGUUAAUUUUUAACCGCUGUUUAAUUUGGCCCUGAUCAAGUUUGGCUUUCUUUUUUGGUUGAGAUUUUCAGUAUUUAAGGAAAGCUAGUGGAAAGUGAUUUCAAGAAAGUCUCAUUACUGCCUGCCCCUCCUGUGAAAUCCUCAGUCUCUACUUACGGCCUUGUGACCACCUUUUGGCUUUUGUUUUGGCUGGGUUGUAUUUUUUUUUUUUUUUUUACUAUAUGUCUCUACGUAACAGUCAUUAUUAUGGCUUCACCAGGUUGUUUACCUCUUAAGAUGACACACCUAGGAAUUUGGCCUGAUUGUGCUAAUUAAAUACACAUUGAAAGUCAAACCAAGAAGUCAUCAGCCUAUAGAAAAGUUGAUUACAAUAACAAUGUGAUAAAAGGUUGUUUUGGAAUAAUCCCAGGUAGAUGCAUUCUAACCAGGCAUUUUAAAUCUUAAUUUAAAAAUAACUAUUCUUAGCUUUAUAAACUUUGUGGAUUUUAAAAGUCCUCAUUGUGGUCUUUUCAUUAAAUUUCUUACAUUUUGCCACAUGUCACCAAGCGAACAUUUGUGUAGGCAUUUACACAUAAACACAACCAUUACAAUAAGAUGCCCAAAAUAGCCUGUUAUCUUCCACGUGACCUAGAUUACUGACACUUUUAAAUAUAUAAUUUUUCUUCAAAGGCAGUACAUUUUCCUUUGUAGCUUCAAUUCCAUGUAGGACUUCAUACUGUAAAACCACUGUUAGUUUCCUUUAGAAACUCUGAGAGACUUUAAUAACAUAAAUUCUCAAUUUGGCUGCUGAACACGUGCCAGAGUUUUACUACCAUAGUGACCGUUGAGAAGACCCUUGUUUAUUUACAUCUGAAGCACUGUUUGUGCAAACAACCUUUCAUUGUUAAGUGCCUGUAUUCCUUUCAUUUACUUCAUGUCCAGGGGUGCUAUUUACCUAGAACCAUUGUCUACUACAAUUAACAUUUACAUUACAAAGUGUGUGGUUUUCUUUCUCAAGGAGGUUCAAUUAAGGCAAUAAGAUGUUUGCGGGGAAACCUAUUGUUUACUGAAAGCACUCAAUGGAGUCAAAUUACUGACGCUUUUGCCUACAUCUUGGUCUUUUAUGUAAAUAUGUUAAAUAUAACAUCUAAGGAAAAUAAACAAUAUUAUAAUUAUGUGUUUGCC